Molecule: ribosomal RNA, 1377 nt
Filed under: Cryobacterium levicorallinum
Lineage: Bacteria; Bacillati; Actinomycetota; Actinomycetes; Micrococcales; Microbacteriaceae
Description: bacterial SSU rRNA
Rfam family: Bacterial small subunit ribosomal RNA
Source: RNAcentral
GGUGAGAGGAGCUUGCUCCUUGGAUCAGUGGCGAACGGGUGAGUAACACGUGAGCAAUCUGCCCUUGACUCUGGGAUAACUGCGGGAAACUGUAGCUAAUACCGGAUAUUACCUUGGAAGGCAUCUUCUGGGGUGGAAAGAAUUUUGGUCAAGGAUGAGCUCGCGGCCUAUCAGCUAGUUGGUGAGGUAAUGGCUCACCAAGGCGACGACGGGUAGCCGGCCUGAGAGGGUGACCGGCCACACUGGGACUGAGACACGGCCCAGACUCCUACGGGAGGCAGCAGUGGGGAAUAUUGCACAAUGGGCGCAAGCCUGAUGCAGCAACGCCGCGUGAGGGACGAAGGCCUUCGGGUUGUAAACCUCUUUUAGUAGGGAAGAAGCGACUGGGUUUUCCUGGGAGUGACGGUACCUGCAGAAAAAGCACCGGCUAACUACGUGCCAGCAGCCGCGGUAAUACGUAGGGUGCAAGCGUUGUCCGGAAUUAUUGGGCGUAAAGAGCUCGUAGGCGGUUUGUCGCGUCUGCUGUGAAAACCCGAGGCUCAACCUCGGGCCUGCAGUGGGUACGGGCAGACUAGAGUGCGGUAGGGGAGAUUGGAAUUCCUGGUGUAGCGGUGGAAUGCGCAGAUAUCAGGAGGAACACCAAUGGCGAAGGCAGAUCUCUGGGCCGUAACUGACGCUGAGGAGCGAAAGCAUGGGGAGCGAACAGGAUUAGAUACCCUGGUAGUCCAUGCCGUAAACGUUGGGAACUAGAUGUGGGGACCAUUCCACGGUCUCCGUGUCGCAGCUAACGCAUUAAGUUCCCCGCCUGGGGGAGUACGGCCGCAAGGCUAAAACUCAAAGGAAUUUGACGGGGGCCCGCACAAGCGGCGGAGCAUGCGGAUUAAUUCGAUGCAACGCGAAGAACCUUACCAAGGCUUGACAUAUACCGGAAACGGCCAGAAAUGGUCGCCCCGCAAGGUCGGUAUACAGGUGGUGCAUGGUUGUCGUCAGCUCGUGUCGUGAGAUGUUGGGUUAAGUCCCGCAACGAGCGCAACCCUCGUCCUAUGUUGCCAGCACGUAAUGGUGGGAACUCAUGGGAUACUGCCGGGGUCAACUCGGAGGAAGGUGGGGAUGACGUCAAAUCAUCAUGCCCCUUAUGUCUUGGGCUUCACGCAUGCUACAAUGGCCGGUACAAAGGGCUGCGAUACCGCAAGGUGGAGCGAAUCCCAAAAAGCCGGUCUCAGUUCGGAUUGAGGUCUGCAACUCGACCUCAUGAAGUCGGAGUCGCUAGUAAUCGCAGAUCAGCAACGCUGCGGUGAAUACGUUCCCGGGCCUUGUACACACCGCCCGUCAAGUCAUGAAAGUCGGUAACACCCGAAGCCAGUGGCCGAACCCGUA